GAAUGUGAAGGUGAUCUGGGUGUGACAUCUGUUACACCAUUAAUCAUUGGGGUUGAUUCAGCUGAUCUGGCUAGGAAGGUGUUCCCUUCUUCCCUUACCACUCCAUGUGCAUUCCUCUCAAAGCUGUGCCCUUGGAGGAAGGGAGUGACUUUCCCCAUGAAUAGAGGAGGGCCAUUCUUUAGUUGAGGGUAUAUGAGUAGUGUUGCUCCCCUGCUAGAACCUCCAAACAAACUCUCAAGAACACAGGAAAGGAAUUUUCAGACAAGAUGGGAAAGCCCUGGCAUGAAAGCAAAAGUCUUAGAAAAUCAUGAGAAGGGGUGGUCCAACUUC
RNAcentral lists this small nuclear RNA (330 nucleotides) under Castor canadensis (American beaver). RNAcentral describes it as "7SK RNA (ENSCCNG00000021852.1)". The stretch from base 1 to 274 matches the Rfam family "7SK RNA". Rfam says of the family: 7SK was discovered as an abundant small nuclear RNA in the mid-70s but a possible function has only recently been suggested. Two independent studies have found that 7SK RNA binds the CDK9/cyclin T complex (known as elongation factor P-TEFb). Lineage: Eukaryota; Metazoa; Chordata; Mammalia; Rodentia; Castoridae. The record is from RNAcentral.